GGCCACCGGCUUGUGGUUGCCUUUCGGUUACACCCUUGUCCGGUGGUUCUCUUCGCGGGGACGCCGCGUGCCUUCACUGGCUCACGGAUGCGAACCGCGACGUUUACUUUGAAAAAAUUAGAGUGUUUAAAGCAGGCGCUUGCUUGAAUACAUUAGCAUGGAAUAAUGGAAUAGGACCUCGGUUCUAUUUUGUUGGUUUCUAGGGCCGAAGUA
RNAcentral lists this ribosomal RNA (213 nucleotides) under uncultured fungus. Its description in RNAcentral is "partial small subunit ribosomal RNA". The stretch from base 93 to 213 matches the Rfam family "Eukaryotic small subunit ribosomal RNA", at positions 741 to 864 of the family's 1831-position model. Lineage: Eukaryota; Fungi. The record is from RNAcentral.